GUCGUAGUGGUGUGUUGGUAAAGUUCUGAGUGUUUCUGCUAGGCGUCGUAGUGGUGUGUUGGUAAAGUUCUGAGUGUUUCUGCAGGCUAGGUGUCGUAGUGGUGUGUUGGUAAAGUUCUGAGUGUUUCUGCAGGCUAGGUGUCGUAGUGGUGUGUUGGUAAAGUUCUGAGUGUUUCUGCUAGGUGUCGUAGUGGUGUGUUGGUAAAGUUCUGAGACUGUUUCUGCAGGCUAGGUGUCGUAGUGGUGUGUUGGUAAAGUUCUGAGAGUGUUUCUGCAGGCUAGGUGUCGUAGUGGUGUGGUGGUAAAGUUCUGAGUGUUUCUGCUAGGUGUCGUAGUGGUGUGUUGGUAAAGUUCUGAGAAUGUUUCUGCUAGGUGUC
Long non-coding RNA from Oncorhynchus tshawytscha (Chinook salmon), 377 nucleotides. The record is from Ensembl. NCBI's taxonomy places the organism in Eukaryota, Metazoa, Chordata, Actinopteri, Salmoniformes, Salmonidae.